GCCGAAGUGGUGGAAUUGGUAGACACGCUAGGUUCAGGGUCUAGUGGCUGUAGGGUCGUGCGAGUUCGAGUCUCGCCUUCGGCACCA
RNAcentral lists this transfer RNA (87 nucleotides) under Deltaproteobacteria bacterium HGW-Deltaproteobacteria-4. RNAcentral's name for it is "tRNA-Leu". It matches the Rfam family "tRNA". From Rfam's summary of the family: Transfer RNA (tRNA) molecules are approximately 80 nucleotides in length. Their secondary structure includes four short double-helical elements and three loops (D, anti-codon, and T loops). Lineage: Bacteria; Deltaproteobacteria. The record is from RNAcentral. RNAcentral also lists the same sequence under 1 other name.